This 186-nucleotide non-coding RNA is filed under the name Clostridium sp. RNAcentral describes it as "Glycine sequence". It matches the Rfam family "Glycine riboswitch aptamer". From Rfam's summary of the family: This family represents the bacterial glycine riboswitch. Lineage: Bacteria; Bacillati; Bacillota; Clostridia; Eubacteriales; Clostridiaceae. The record is from RNAcentral.
UGACACAACCCUGGAGAGCCCACUUUAAAGUGGCAUCAACGGAGCAACUUUAUUUCAAUGACAGUUUAUUACAGCAAUGUUAACUUUUUUCAUUAAGAAGGAUUUAAUUAUACUGUAAUGUUAUUGAAAAAUGAACUUAUUCAUUAUUUAAAGGAAUCUUUCAGAUAAAAGGACAGGGAGUAAGAU